AGUUGUUGGCAUGGUGGCAUUUUAGAGGAAGUUGAUGAGGGUUAUGCUUAUUUCUGAAUUUCUGCAUGGAAAUUUCUUAAUGAUCAGGGUUAGUGUUAAAUUGGUUUUACAACAGUUAAAGGAUUAAGUUAGGGUUUUAUUUAAAUCAGUGAAAUAGUGAUCACAAGAAAUAUAUAGAGAGAACUAUAAUAUGAAGAACAUGGGUAGUUGAGGAGAGUGUUUGGAAUUGUCUUGCCCACUU
RNAcentral lists this unclassified non-coding RNA (241 nucleotides) under Hevea brasiliensis (rubber tree). Lineage: Eukaryota; Viridiplantae; Streptophyta; Magnoliopsida; Malpighiales; Euphorbiaceae. The record is from RNAcentral.